GGCUGAAAUUCGCCUUCAUGAAGCCGGAAUUGCUAGUAAUGGCAGGUCAGCAUACUGCCGUGAAUACGUUCCCGGGCCCUUGUACACACCGCCCGUCACACCAUGAGAGUUGGGAAUACCCGAAGCCUGUGAGCUAACUUUACGAGGCAGCAGUCGAAGGUAGAAUCAAUGAUUGGGGUGAAGUCGUAACAAGGUAUC
Molecule: ribosomal RNA, 198 nt
Filed under: uncultured bacterium
Lineage: Bacteria
Description: partial 16S ribosomal RNA
Rfam family: Bacterial small subunit ribosomal RNA
Source: RNAcentral